UUCACAAUCUAAACACAAUUGUUCUCUUCACCUCCCAGCUUUGACUCUAUAGAUUUGAUUCACCUCAUCUCUAAUCACAAUAGACGCCUCACUAAUAAUAACUGAAGAAGAUCCGAUCAAUUAAUUUAGGGUGAGAGCAUUUACGUGACCAGCGACCUUAUCAAAAUCUGGGAGACUGGGACGUUGGUAGAGGGCUUAGGCUGCCACGACGAUGCUUGACAACUCAUCCUCCUAAUUCCGUCUCUGCUUGCUUUCUCCGACAACUACUAAUCACUGAAUCAACAGCCGGUGUAUCAGCGAGUUCGCCAUUCUUUGUCUCACUGAUCUCGGAUGUGGUCCUCUCAGAGAUUUUUAACCCCAAAUCGACCUCAAACGUUGACAGACAUCCAUGGCGAGCACCAAAUUCCAGCCAAUCAUAUCUACGUUUCCUUGGAUCUUCUAUGUUUCAUCUAUAUGUUGAUCCAGAUGGGCUAUUUGUGCAUAAAGAGAUGAGGAUUGAAGAACUACUUAAUGUGAGUCAUGAAGGAACUGAUUUUUCUAUUACAAGGUGACAUGCUCUAUAUCAGGCUUUCAAUCUCAAUCAAGUUUCA
Molecule: long non-coding RNA, 590 nt
Organism: Brassica oleracea var. oleracea
Lineage: Eukaryota; Viridiplantae; Streptophyta; Magnoliopsida; Brassicales; Brassicaceae
Exons: 3
Source: RefSeq, a predicted model, not a curated record